Molecule: ribosomal RNA, 468 nt
Filed under: uncultured bacterium
Lineage: Bacteria
Description: partial 16S ribosomal RNA
Rfam family: Bacterial small subunit ribosomal RNA
Source: RNAcentral
GACGAACGCUGGCGGCGUGCUUAACACAUGCAAGUCGAACGGAAAGGCCCUGCUUUUGUGGGGUGCUCGAGUGGCGAACGGGUGAGUAACACGUGAGUAACCUGCCCUUGACUUUGGGAUAACUUCAGGAAACUGGGGCUAAUACCGGAUAGGAGCUCCUGCUGCAUGGUGGGGGUUGGAAAGUUUCGGCGGUUGGGGAUGGACUCGCGGCUUAUCAGCUUGUUGGUGGGGUAGUGGCUUACCAAGGCUUUGACGGGUAGCCGGCCUGAGAGGGUGACCGGCCACAUUGGGACUGAGAUACGGCCCAGACGCCUACGGGAGGCAGCAGUGGGGAAUAUUGCACAAUGGGCGGAAGCCUGAUGCAGCGACGCCGCGUGCGGGAUGACGGCCUUCGGGUUGUAAACCGCUUUCGCCUGUGACGAAGCGUGAGUGACGGUAAUGUGUAAAGAAGCACCGGCUAACUACGUG